Molecule: long non-coding RNA, 383 nt
Filed under: Callithrix jacchus (white-tufted-ear marmoset)
Lineage: Eukaryota; Metazoa; Chordata; Mammalia; Primates; Cebidae
Description: lncRNA (ENSCJAG00000076991.1)
Source: RNAcentral
CACAAAACCAAGCCACUCCUAGAUUCCUGGCCCUUAGACACAGUGCUAGCCUACUGUUUGCCCAGGGCUCAUCGAACUCUCUUUGUGUUGUCUGUGGGAAUUGGAGUUUGAAGACCUGGUGCAAGAACAUGCUGAUCCUCUGGUCACUGCUACUUCUGUGAGUGAUAAAGUCCUCGGUCUCUAACCCAAGAGUAUCUGGUGCUCUGCCAGCAUUCAGGAAACUCUAACAGGCUAAACUUGUUGGCUUGCAAGUAGAGUAAAAUCACAGAAUCUUCACAGUUCUUGCCACCUCAUCUAGCUGUGCCAAUUAAAUGAAAUAAUUUAUGUAAAGAACUUACUUAGGGAUUGGUACAAAGUAUAAAAUAUAUAUUGGAUAGUGAUGG